UGCCAGCAGCCGCGGUAAUACGAAGGGGGCAAGCGUUGUUCGGAUUUACUGGGCGUAAAGGGCGCGCAGGCGGACUAAUAAGUCGACUGUGAAAUCUGUGGGCUCAACCUACAGCCUGCAGUCGAAACUAUUAAUCUUGAGUAUGGAAGAGGAAAGCGGAAUCUCUGGUGUAGCGGUGAAAUGCGUAGAUAUCAGAGAGAACACCGGUGGCGAAGGCGGCUUUCUGGUCUAAUACUGACGCUGAGGCGCGAAAGCUAGGGGAGCGAACGGGAUUAGAUA
Molecule: ribosomal RNA, 279 nt
Filed under: uncultured bacterium
Lineage: Bacteria
Description: partial 16S ribosomal RNA
Rfam family: Bacterial small subunit ribosomal RNA
Source: RNAcentral